CAAAAGGCUCUUUUCAGAACCAUUAUUUUUUUUUUUUAAUUUUCU
Stegodyphus mimosarum is the source of this 45-nucleotide non-coding RNA. NCBI's taxonomy places the organism in Eukaryota, Metazoa, Arthropoda, Arachnida, Araneae, Eresidae. The record is from Rfam.